Molecule: transfer RNA, 78 nt
Filed under: Microbacterium sp. Bi98
Lineage: Bacteria; Bacillati; Actinomycetota; Actinomycetes; Micrococcales; Microbacteriaceae
Description: tRNA-Ser
Source: RNAcentral
CCGGCAUCGGCGCGGUCGUCGCGCGCCGCCUCCUCGAUCGGGGCGAUCAGGUCGUGGUGCUCGCCCGCGAUGCCGGGC